This 460-nucleotide ribosomal RNA is filed under the name uncultured bacterium. RNAcentral's name for it is "partial 16S ribosomal RNA". It matches the Rfam family "Bacterial small subunit ribosomal RNA", at positions 338 to 795 of the family's 1533-position model. The record is from RNAcentral.
CCUACGGGUGGCAGCAGUGAGGAAUAUUGGUCAAUGGACGAGAGUCUGAACCAGCCAAGUAGCGUGAAGGAUGACUGCCCUAUGGGUUGUAAACUUCUUUUAUAAAGGAAUAAAACGAGGCACGUGUGCCUCUUUGCAUGUACUUUAUGAAUAAGGAUCGGCUAACUCCGUGCCAGCAGCCGCGGUAAUACGGAGGAUCCGAGCGUUAUCCGGAUUUAUUGGGUUUAAAGGGAGCGUAGAUGGGUUGUUAAGUCAGUUGUGAAAGUUUGCGGCUCAACCGUAAAAUUGCAAUUGAUACUGGCAGUCUUGAGUACAGUUGAGGUAGGCGGAAUUCGUGGUGUAGCGGUGAAAUGCAUAGAUAUCACGCAGAACCCCGAUUGCGAAGGCAGCAUACCGGCGCCCUACUGACGCUGAGGCACGAAAGUGCGGGUAUCGAACAGGAUUAGAUACCCCGGUAGUC